This 496-nucleotide ribosomal RNA is filed under the name uncultured bacterium. Its description in RNAcentral is "partial 16S ribosomal RNA". It matches the Rfam family "Bacterial small subunit ribosomal RNA", at positions 28 to 506 of the family's 1533-position model. The record is from RNAcentral.
GAUGAACGCUGGCGGCGUGCCUAAUACAUGCAAGUCGAGCGAACAGACGAGGAGCUUGCUCCUCUGACGUUAGCGGCGGACGGGUGAGUAACACGUGGAUAACCUACCUAUAAGACUGGGAUAACUUCGGGAAACCGGAGCUAAUACCGGAUAAUAUAUUGAACCGCAUGGUUCAAUAGUGAAAGACGGUUUUGCUGUCACUUAUAGAUGGAUCCGCGCCGCAUUAGCUAGUUGGUAAGGUAACGGCUUACCAAGGCAACGAUGCGUAGCCGACCUGAGAGGGUGUUCGCCCCCCCUGGACUUGGGACCCGGCCCGGCCUCCCCCGGGAGGCAGCGGGCGGAACUCUUCCCCAAUGGGCGAAACCCUGCCGGAGCAACCCCGCGUGAGUUAUAAAGGUCUUCGGUUCGUAAAACUUUUUUUUUAGGGAAAAACAAAUGUGUAGGUACCUAUGCCCUUUUUGCCGGUACCUAAUCAAAAACCCCCGGCUACCUCCGU